Molecule: ribosomal RNA, 485 nt
Filed under: uncultured bacterium
Lineage: Bacteria
Description: bacterial SSU rRNA
Rfam family: Bacterial small subunit ribosomal RNA
Source: RNAcentral
GAUGAACGCUGGCGGCGUGCUUAACACAUGCAAGUCGAACGGUGAAGGAGGAGCUUGCUCUUCUGGAUCAGUGGCGAACGGGUGAGUAACACGUGAGCAAUCUGCCCUUGACUCUGGGAUAACAGUUGGAAACAGCUGCUAAUACCGGAUACGAGACGUGACCGCAUGGUCAACGUCUGGAAAGAACUUCGGUCAAGGAUGAGCUCACGGCCUAUCAGCUAGUUGGUGGGGUAAUGGCUCACCAAGGCGACGACGGGUAGCCGGCCUGAGAGGGUGACCGGCCACACUGGGACUGAGACACGGCCCAGACUCCUACGGGAGGCAGCAGUGGGGAAUAUUGCACAAUGGGCGAAAGCCUGAUGCAGCAACGCCGCGUGAGGGACGACGGCCUCGGUGUAACCUCUUUAGCUAAGGAGAAGCGAAAGUGACGGUACGUUGCAGAAAAAGACGACCGGCUAACUACGUGCCAGCAGCCGCGGUAACGU